Serinus canaria (Common canary) is the source of this 927-nucleotide long non-coding RNA. RefSeq lists it as uncharacterized. The transcript is spliced from 3 exons. Lineage: Eukaryota; Metazoa; Chordata; Aves; Passeriformes; Fringillidae. The record is from RefSeq and is a predicted model, not a curated record.
UGAAAGGUGUCCCUGCCCAUGGCAGGGGUGGGAUGAGAUGAGCUUUAUGCUCCCUUUCAACCCAAACCUCUCCGUGAUUCUAUGUAACCAAUGUUGCUUAUUUUUGCAGAACAAGUUUACAAAGCUGCUCAGCUUGUGCCUUAACAUUUUCCCUGACCUCGAGACUACUUAAACUUCUCAUAAGGAUGCCUCCCAGACCCAAGACGGCACCAGUGCCAACUCGGGCUGCUUUGACAGUGCCAAGUGCCUCCUGCAAAGUGACAUCAGGAACCUGGAAUAGCUGGCUUCAAAGGCAACUCCUGCCCCUACAGGGAAAACUGAGAAAAUCCAGCUGGGAAUGAGACUCGUGCCCUCCCCGGGUGCCAGCACAACAGGAGCACAGAAUCCCCAAACCCUUUUUUUGGCAAUGGCAGCUCCCAAAAUCCCAUGAGGUGAAGGACAAAUAGAGGGCAUGAUAUGAAAAAGCCUCCAGGAUGGGAUCCUGGGAUUGAGCAGGAAGGAGACCUGCCACCGGUGACUGCAGCAUCUCUGGGCUCAGCAGAAAACCACACAGAGCUUCAUUGGGAGCCUCCAGGUACCCUUUGGCUCCUGCCCCUUGAGCACCAUGGAGGUGACACAGUCUGGAGCUCAGGCACAGGGGGACAGCCAGGUUUUCCUGGGUCUCCAAAGGAGGUGACUUCAAGAUGAUCUGGAAGCAUCAUCUUGUUUGUCAACUUGACAUCAGGUUAAGGGGGGACAUUUCCUCCUGUUCUGCACUGGGGAGGCCACAGCUGUGCACUGGGACCAGUUUGGGGCUCCAAGGCAUCUCCAAAGCAAAGUGAGCCUGGGGACACCCUGGCAGGGGUGGAUGGCAGCCAAGGAAAGCAAGGAGAGGCUGUGGGAGCCAGGUUUCCAGAGGAGGAGGAGGCAAAGGGGGAUGCAGUGACC